Molecule: ribosomal RNA, 274 nt
Filed under: uncultured bacterium
Lineage: Bacteria
Description: partial 16S ribosomal RNA
Rfam family: Bacterial small subunit ribosomal RNA
Source: RNAcentral
AUACGGAGGGUGCAAGCGUUACUCGGAAUUACUGGGCGUAAAGCGUACGUAGGCGGCUUGUCAAGUUGGAUGUGAAAUCCCACAGCUUAACUGUGGAACUGCGUCCAAAACUGGCAAGCUCGAGUACAGUAGGGGACAGUGGAACUCAAGGUGGAGCGGUGGAAUACGUAGAGAUCUUGAGGAACACCGGUGGCGAAAGCGACUGUCUGGGCUGUUUCUGACGCUGAGGUACGAAAGCCAGGGGAGCGAACGGGAUUAGAAACCCCGGUAGUCC